GACGUAGGGGGCGAGCGUUGUCCGGAUUUAUUGGGCGUAAAGCGUGCGUAGGCGGCUGCGCAAGUCGGUUGUGUAACCCCGGGGCUCAACCCCGGAACUGCAUCCGAUACUGCGUGGCUAGAGGUAGGUAGGGGAGAUCGGAAUUCCUGGUGUAGCGGUGAAAUGCGCAGAUAUCAGGAGGAACACCGGUGGCGAAGGCGGAUCUCUGGGCCGGAACUGACGCUGAGGAGCGAAAGCGUGGGUAGCAAACAGG
This 253-nucleotide ribosomal RNA is filed under the name uncultured bacterium. RNAcentral's name for it is "partial 16S ribosomal RNA". It matches the Rfam family "Bacterial small subunit ribosomal RNA", at positions 524 to 776 of the family's 1533-position model. The record is from RNAcentral.